RNAcentral lists this ribosomal RNA (669 nucleotides) under Microbacteriaceae bacterium N4_97_3. RNAcentral's name for it is "bacterial SSU rRNA". It matches the Rfam family "Bacterial small subunit ribosomal RNA", at positions 65 to 747 of the family's 1533-position model. Lineage: Bacteria; Bacillati; Actinomycetota; Actinomycetes; Micrococcales; Microbacteriaceae. The record is from RNAcentral.
AACGAUGACGGAGAGCUUGCUCUUCUGAUUAGUGGCGAACGGGUGAGUAACACGUGAGUAACCUGCCCUUGACUCUGGGAUAAGCACUGGAAACGGUGUCUAAUACCGGAUACGAGCCUCCUCCGCAUGGUGAGGGGCUGGAAAGAAUUUCGGUCAAGGAUGGACUCGCGGCCUAUCAGCUAGUUGGUGAGGUAACGGCCCACCAAGGCGACGACGGGUAGCCGGCCUGAGAGGGUGACCGGCCACACUGGGACUGAGACACGGCCCAGACUCCUACGGGAGGCAGCAGUGGGGAAUAUUGCACAAUGGGCGCAAGCCUGAUGCAGCAACGCCGCGUGAGGGACGACGGCCUUCGGGUUGUAAACCUCUUUUAGUAGGGAAGAAGCGAAAGUGACGGUACCUGCAGAAAAAGCACCGGCUAACUACGUGCCAGCAGCCGCGGUAAUACGUAGGGUGCAAGCGUUGUCCGGAAUUAUUGGGCGUAAAGAGCUCGUAGGCGGUUUGUCGCGUCUGCUGUGAAAACCCGAGGCUCAACCUCGGGCCUGCAGUGGGUACGGGCAGACUAGAGUGCGGUAGGGGAGAUUGGAAUUCCUGGUGUAGCGGUGGAAUGCGCAGAUAUCAGGAGGAACACCGAUGGCGAAGGCAGAUCUCUGGGCCGUAACUGACGCU